UGGAAACGGGGUCUAAUACCGGAUAUGACCACCGGCCGCAUGGUCUGGUGGUGGAAAGCUCCGGCGGUGCAGGAUGAGCCCGCGGCCUAUCAGCUUGUUGGUGGGGUGAUGGCCUACCAAGGCGACGACGGGUAGCCGGCCUGAGAGGGCGACCGGCCACACUGGGACUGAGACACGGCCCAGACUCCUACGGGAGGCAGCAGUGGGGAAUAUUGCACAAUGGGCGCAAGCCUGAUGCAGCGACGCCGCGUGAGGGAUGACGGCCUUCGGGUUGUAAACCUCUUUCAGCAGGGAAGAAGCGCGAGUGACGGUACCUGCAGAAGAAGCACCGGCUAACUACGUGCCAGCAGCCGCGGUAAUACGUAGGGUGCGAGCGUUGUCCGGAAUUAUUGGGCGUAAAGAGCUCGUAGGCGGCCUGUCGCGUCGGAUGUGAAAGCCCGGGGCUUAACCCCGGGUCUGCAUUCGAUACGGGCAGGCUAGAGUUCGGCAGGGGAGAUUGGAAUUCCUGGUGUAGCGGUGAAAUGCGCAGAUAUCAGGAGGAACACCGGUGGCGAAGGCGGAUCUCUGGGCCGAUACUGACGCUGAGGAGCGAAAGCGUGGGGAGCGAACAGGAUUAGAUACCCUGGUAGUCCACGCCGUAAACGUUGGGCACUAGGUGUGGGCGGCAUUCCACGUCGUCCGUGCCGCAGCUAACGCA
Molecule: ribosomal RNA, 697 nt
Filed under: Streptomyces cacaoi
Lineage: Bacteria; Bacillati; Actinomycetota; Actinomycetes; Kitasatosporales; Streptomycetaceae
Description: bacterial SSU rRNA
Rfam family: Bacterial small subunit ribosomal RNA
Source: RNAcentral